This 494-nucleotide small RNA is filed under the name Pongo abelii (Sumatran orangutan). Its description in RNAcentral is "sense overlapping". The stretch from base 1 to 265 matches the Rfam family "SOX2 overlapping transcript exon 3". From Rfam's summary of the family: SOX2 overlapping transcript (SOX2OT) is a long non-coding RNA, containing at least 5 exons. The SOX2 gene, an important regulator of neurogenesis, lies within one of the introns of SOX2OT. SOX2OT and SOX2DOT (an isoform of SOXOT transcribed from a distal highly conserved element) are expressed in zones of neurogenesis within the brain. The record is from RNAcentral. Lineage: Eukaryota; Metazoa; Chordata; Mammalia; Primates; Hominidae.
GGCUAGGUCUUGGAGGCUGGUGUAAGGCGAUGCGGGUGAAGGCAGGAGGCUGAUGGAAAGACUGGGGGGAAGAAAAGCCGAAAUGGAUUCACGGUGCCUUGGAUGAAGGACGAGAGGGGAACUGCAAGCUCCUUCAACUGGUUCUGUCCGGUGAGAAGUGAUCAAGCUUGGGCUGACAAGAGGCUCAGGGAGCCCUCACGUUCUUUCGCUUUUUUACCUGCCAAUCAAACUGCUACAAGACAACACCCUGAUCUGGCAUGGACAUACUAAAGCUCUGUACUCGACCCCGCGAGCGGCUCUCGCCUUCCGGGGAUGGAACCCGACUCAGAUGUGAAGCGGCACUGAGCCGCUGCGCAGGUUCGUGCCCAGCGCCCCCUGUUGGACACAGUAGGAGCUGCGCAGCGCCAGUCCCGGAAAUCGCUGGAAUCCUGCUCUGGGGUUAGAGAAAACUCUUUAUUGCCCUCCAAAAAAGAAACGGGACGCGGAAACAAAUU